GAUGAACGCUGGCGGCGUGCCUAAUACAUGCAAGUCGAGCGAACAGAUGAGGAGCUUGCUCCUCUGACGUUAGCGGCGGACGGGUGAGUAACACGUGGAUAACCUACCUAUAAGACUGGGAUAACUUCGGGAAACCGGAGCUAAUACCGGAUAAUAUAUUGAACCGCAUGGUUCAAUAGUGAAAGACGGUUUUGCUGUCACUUAUAGAUGGAUCCGCGCCGCAUUAGCUAGUUGGUAAGGUAACGGCUUACCAAGGCAACGAUGCAUAGCCGACCUGAGAGGGUGAUCGGCCACACUGGAACUGAGACACGGUCCAGACUCCUACGGGAGGCAGCAGUAGGGAAUCUUCCGCAAUGGGCGAAAGCCUGACGGAGCAACGCCGCGUGAGUGAUGAAGGUCUUCGGAUCGUAAAACUCUGUUAUUAGGGAAGAACAAAUGUGUAAGUAACUAUGCACGUCUUGACGGUACCUAAACAGAAAGCCACGGCUAACUACGUG
This 497-nucleotide ribosomal RNA is filed under the name uncultured bacterium. RNAcentral describes it as "partial 16S ribosomal RNA". It matches the Rfam family "Bacterial small subunit ribosomal RNA", at positions 28 to 507 of the family's 1533-position model. The record is from RNAcentral.